This is a non-coding RNA of Manis javanica (Malayan pangolin), 4725 nucleotides long. The record is from RefSeq and is a predicted model, not a curated record. NCBI's taxonomy places the organism in Eukaryota, Metazoa, Chordata, Mammalia, Pholidota, Manidae.
CUCCAGACACUGCCACCCCAGUUCCCCUCCUGCACAUGGAGUUCAGUUCCUCCAGACUGGCUGACUUACCAGAGGAGCCAGUCCUGAAAUGAGAGGGCCCAGCUUUGCCCCAAUGUCCGUAAGAAACAGCUUACCAGAUCGCCUCUACUGAACCUAGUCCUCGCGUCCUAGUGACUCACUGUCCCUGGGGAGCCUAGCUCACUGUGAGCUCGGUGCCUCUGUUCACCAGCCACCCGUGGAUUUCAUUCUCAGGGAGUUGGUGUUCAUGUGGACUGCUUAGUGCUGGGCCAGUGUCUGCUGUUUGGUGUUUGAGACAUCUGUUGUCUUCAUUGGUAUUUUAGUAUCUUGGCCUCCCUGGGCAGCAUGGUAACAAUAAACGGUAUCUCCUUCAGGGUCUAGGAUUCUUCUUUGUGGGUCUUGCUAGUCUCAGAAAAUCCAGUAUCCCAGUACCCCACUCUCUGUAGACAACACAGUUAAAUUUUCUAUCAACUUAAAGCUUCCUCUAUCCCCUGAUCAGCUAACCAAAGAGCAUUUCUGCAAUUAUACAAGUGUGAAGACUAUUACAAUUAACAUUUGUUCACAGCACUGCAUAUAUUAUGUUAUAAUUCUCAUUUUUGUCUUCCUAUUAACUCAUCACAAUGACAAUCAUCAUUAAAACACCAUGAACUUAAAAUGAACUCUCAUCUACCAAAGUAAACCACCAGUACCCUACUUGGUAAGGUGCUGUCUCUCUUAAGUCACACAUCACUGAUGAAAGACUCUCUUGUUUUUACCCUCAAGCCAUUUUACUUGUGACAUCAUCACAUCAUCAAGAUGGGAAGACCUGCUGGUGGGGUGAGAGCAUCUAAUUGUGACCAGCCUGUCCUGGGGGGAAAAGAUGCCCCAACCCAGAUGAGCCCUGCAGUGGUGUGUUCUCGGGGCUCUUGGGUCUUGAGGUGCACCUUGAGAAAGCUGACAAAGAAUUGUAGAUGGUGCUGCUCUCAGGUGAUUCUAUUGACCAAUGCCACGUAGAAAGUUCUGAGACCUUCCUUUGUUUAACAAACAUCUCUUGAGCACCAAGCACUAUUCUAGGCACUGGAGAUACAGGUAUAAAAGGUCAGCAGUCCCUGAUCUCAGGGCUGAAAUUUGCCUUCUGAUUCAGCUACAGUUUGUGGUGCUGAUGUUCUCAUUCUGUUUGAGUUGCUCACACCUCCCUGUGAUGUGCUCAGUUCGCCACUUGGAUAGGGGAGUCUAGAGAUUGGGAAAAUCAGGGCUGGACAUAAAAUUUGGGUAUCAUUGCACAGACAUUGACAACCGUAAGUCUGAGGCCACUAGGGAGACUGUGGAGGCCGAGAAGAAAGGAUCCCUGGGGUUGCUGACCUUCAGAAGUGGAGGGGAAGAGGACCCGGCAGAGGAGCCUGAAAAAGCUGAGACAUGAAGUAGGAAAAAGACCCCUCAGAUCCUCCAUCCUGCUCUUUCUGUGUGUGUCAUGCUGCAGAACUGGCCUCUAAAAUGUAGGUACAUGUUGAGCUGGGAGACUCAGGACAGAGUCCAUGUCAUCACCCUAUUCAUCUGGCAUGCCGCGGAAAGGAGCCCAGUCUAUUUUGGACCCAACAGCAAGGAUAACCCGUAGUCAUUCUGCAAUGGUCCCACCACAUGCCCAGGGCCUUGCUCAGCCCUUCACACUUCAGACGGACCUUUGUCGUGGUCACCCACAGAAGUCACAAGAUUACUUCUCCUAAGAGUUGUAGCUUAGGUCUACUUAAAAAACAAAUGUGCCCCUGAACCUCUAAAUAACACAGUGAUGGCUUACCAUUCUGCAGAAGGAGUGCCGUCACCUUUCCAUUUAGUCACAGUGAACAUUUACUGAGGUUCUAAAAUAUAUGUAGAGCACAAUGCCAGGGGCAACAGACAGUACAAAGAUGAACACGAUGUGAGUCUGGCAUUAAAGAGUUUAUGUAAUCCAUUUCUAAGGAUAAGAAAAUAGUUCAAGGUUAAAAGUACUGGGAGGCUUGAGACCAGAACUUAAAUUGUCGUUGGUUCCUGUCAACUUGUCUAUCAAAGGAGACUGUGAAGUGUGGGAGAGAAGAGCCUGCCCAGAGAGGCUGGUUUGUUUCUGAGGUGGCGGUGCAGGCGUGAAGGAGCCCACCUGGAAAUCCAGCAGAGCGCCUACCCAGACGCAGAAAGUGGACAGUGGCUCAGACUGGGGAGCGAACGGCAGGGGUCCUUCCUUCCACUGAGUGCUCGGGGCACACCUGACACUACGCUUCAGAUGCCGCAGCUGUGGGGACGGCCUCUGUCUUGUUCUUUGCUUUAUCCUCUGUGCCUGGCAGAAUAUCUGGGGCUGGUUGUGCUCAAUAAAUACCUAUUGAAUGAAGGAAAUGGUUUAUAUCUGGGAAAUCUCAUGUAUCUGGGAGAGAUGGCUUUUAAUCUCUCCAUUUCAUCGAUGAUGAGGCUCAGAGAGGUUUAUAAGCCUGCCAGUUUGCGGCAGCUAGUGAAUGGCAAAGCUAGAACCCAAACUUAGAUCUGUUUUACUCUAAAGCCCACACUGUUGAUCACUAAAUAUAUUAAUUUUGCUGGUCCAAAUAAGACAAAUGUUAUUAUUUGUGUGUGUGUGUGUGCAUGUGUGUUUACAUACACAUAUUUAUUUAUUUGUUAGGGGCUUUUUGUAUGGUAGGCCCCUAACAUACUCUAAAGGUUUUGCUCAUAUUUAAUCUUCUUAACGUUUAAUCCUCACUACCACCCUGUAAAGUAGGUGCUGUUAUUAGUCCCAGUUUACAACCAAGGAAACUGAAGCACUGUGCUAAGUAACCUGCCCAGCCAAAUUGGUUCCUGAGCCUCUGCCCUUGAUCACUGUGCUUUAUUGCCUCUCGACCUGCCAGUGAAUUUGUGUCUGUGUUUACAAACAGUUAUGAUUUAGUUACUUUGGGUUAAUUCUUUUGUUUAUAAAGUCCAGAUUUCUAAACUCUGUUCAAGUGCUGCCUUGACUGCAGCUGAAUCCAGUCACAGAUUCUGCUGCCCAGGGGGCCACACAAGAGAUGUAGUUAGAGAUGUGAGAUUCAGGCCUGUUACACACAGGCAGUUGGGAAAAAGAGAAAAAUACACAGAAGUUACUGGGAUCUGAAGAAAUAUGCUGAGAGUUUUAGAAGAGGUACAAUGAAGUGCUCUAGGACAACAGGCAUCUAGGAUUGAAAUGAGAAGAAAAGGGAGAAUGUUGAGAGGACUGAAGGCUCCUAAUAGAACUCAGCAAGGUGUGCGAAUAUGGCAGAGGCCCCACUGCAAGUUGCAGUGGAAAGAAUCACCCUUAGAAGUGUCCCUUGGCCCUUCGUCUGACGCAGAUUAACACCAGCAGAGACUGGGGAAACACAGGUACCUGAGGUUGCCAGGAAUUUCUGGGAAAAGACAAGAGGUGGGAAGCAUGUAAAAAAUAUACAAGUUUCAUUUUUCCUCUCACAAUUCAUUAAGGGAGCUGCAGUUAGCUUUGAAAUCUUGAAUUCAGUAAGCGACAAGAGGAAAAUGAAAUGCUCUGUUUCAGACUUGCACACCCACCCCUGUGAAGCGUGAGCCCUAUACGGGAGAAGUCAUCACAGUGAAAGCUGGAGGGACGAAAGGAGACGCCACGGCUGGGCCCGGGAAACAGGCCCGCCCCUGAGCCGGGUGCCUUUGAUGCCUAUUUGGGAGAAGCUUUGCUGUGAUUCAAGCACAAACUUCUAUUUGGGAGAAGCUUUGCUGUGAUUCUCCAACAUCACGUCCACUGUCUUCAUGUAAUCUAUGUGUUUUGCUAUUGCAGUUUCACUCAACUCUAAAUUUUUUUGAAUUUAUGAUAUGUUUUCAGAUGUUUCAACACAGCAAUCUGCAAAAAAUCAACACAAGAAUCAUGAUGGAUGGGGAUAGAUUUUGUGUUAAUUUGUGACACUGUUUGGACUAGUUUUAUACAUACCUAGUUAUCUUUGGUACAUUUCCACAUUACAAUAACCUGUACUUCCCUACAUAAACUCUCUGACUUGAAUGAGGCCCUGUACUCCCAAUAAAUAAUAUUGUGAGAGUUCAACAAUGUUGUAUAGCCGAAAGUGUCAGCUUUUUUGUCAUUUCUUGACUAUUGGAAUUAUUCUUCCAAUCUAGGAAGAUUGUGUUAAAAAUUCAGAGGAAGAUUAGCAAGAGAAAAAAUGUCUGUGGCUUGCUCUAAUAUGCUAUUAACAGCAUUUGUAGGAGCGGGAUGGGUGUUUACUUUGAUUAUAGCAUUUCUUGGGGGUUAGGCUUGAGUUCUGCAUCUCUUUGUGAGGGAGAAUAUUACACUGAGUUCCUUUUAUUCUCUUCAAAGGUAAAAUCAGAGAGAAGGAUGCUGCUCUUCCCAUCACAGUUAAAUGUUGUCAGCCCAUGGGGAAGCAGGCCUUAUUUCAACUCCCCAAGAUCCUUUUGAAAAAAUAAUGGCUCUAGGUCUCUUUGAUUCCCUUUCAGAAGCAAUUCUGUCUUCCUCACUGUGACUGUUGCUGUGUAAGAUUGAAGAUAUAAAUGAAUAUUAUUGUGAUGUAAAGUCUGUGUGAAAAUUCAUUGAUGACACUUUAAAAUGUCACCUUGCUUGUGCUAGAUUUCCUACCUUGAAUUUUUUAAAAUUACUUUCUUGUUUCAGGUUUUUUAAUGGCUCCAUUUGCUUAAAAAUAGCAAACUCUGUGGUUUUACGUUCUAUUAUAAUUGAUACACAUUUGGAUCUUCAUUGAACUAAUAAACAUUUACAUCUUUAGUUUA